GCUACGGUGGCUUAGUGGUUAGAGCGUCCGCCUGGGAUGCAGGAGGACGCGGGAUCGAACUCGGAUGCAGGUUAUCGCGGGUUCAAACCCCGGCCGUUGGUCU
Potamilus streckersoni is the source of this 103-nucleotide non-coding RNA. The record is from the annotation of a GenBank genome assembly. NCBI's taxonomy places the organism in Eukaryota, Metazoa, Mollusca, Bivalvia, Unionida, Unionidae.